UCGAGAAUUUUCUCAAUGGGGAAACCCUGAAGGAGCGACGCCGCGUGGAGGAUGAAGGUCUUCGGAUUGUAAACUCCUGUCAUUGGUGAACAAGACUGCCGGUUAACUGCCGGUGGGUUUGAUAGUAGCCGAAGAGGAAGAGACGGCUAACUCUGUGCCAGCAGCCGCGGUAAUACAGAGGUCUCGAGCGUUGUUCGGAUUCAUUGGGCGUAAAGGGUGCGUAGGCGGCGGGGCAAGUCUGAUGUGAAAUCCCGGGGCUCAACCCCGGAACUGCAUUGGAUACUGCCUUGCUAGAGUACUGGAGAGGAAACCUGGAAUUUACGGUGUAGCAGUGAAAUGCGUAGAGAUCGUAAGGAAGACCAGUGGCGAAGGCGAGUUUCUGGACAGUUACUGACGCUGAGGCACGAAGGCCAGGGGAGCAAACGG
RNAcentral lists this ribosomal RNA (426 nucleotides) under uncultured bacterium. Its description in RNAcentral is "bacterial SSU rRNA". It matches the Rfam family "Bacterial small subunit ribosomal RNA", at positions 355 to 775 of the family's 1533-position model. The record is from RNAcentral.